GGGCCGCACAAGCGGCGGAGCAUGCGGAUUAAUUCGAUGCAACGCGAAGAACUUACCAAGGCUUGACAUGAACCUGAAAUACCUGGAAACAGGUGCCCCGCUUGCGGUCGGUUACAGGUGGUGCA
RNAcentral lists this ribosomal RNA (125 nucleotides) under uncultured bacterium. RNAcentral describes it as "partial 16S ribosomal RNA". It matches the Rfam family "Bacterial small subunit ribosomal RNA", at positions 918 to 1045 of the family's 1533-position model. The record is from RNAcentral.